AAUGUAAGCAUCGGCUAACUCCGUGCCAGCAGCCGCGGUAAUACGGAGGAUGCAAGCGUUAUCCGGAAUCAUUGGGCGUAAAGAGUCCGUAGGUGGCACUUCAAGUCUGCUUUCAAAGACCGAAGCUCAACUUCGGAAAGGGAGUGGAAACUGAAGAGCUAGAGUAUAGUAGGGGUAGAGGGAAUUCCUAGUGUAGCGGUGAAAUGCGUAGAGAUUAGGAAGAACACCAGUGGCGAAGGCGCUCUACUGGGCAUAUACUGACACUGAGGGACGAAAGCUAGGGGAGCGAAAGGGAUUAGAUACCCCUGUAGUCCUAGCGGUAAACGAUGGAUACUAGGCGUAGUGCUGUUAGAGGGACUGUGCCGAAGCUAACGCGUUAAGUAUCCCGCCUGGGGAGUACGCACGCAAGUGUGAAACUCAAAGGAAUUGACGGGGACCCGCACAAGCGGUGGAGUAUGUGGUUUAAUUCGAUGCAACGCGAAGAACCUUACCAAGGCUUGACAUCCUGCGAAUCUUGGAGAAAUCUGAGAGUGCCUAAGGGAACGCAGAGACAGGUGGUGCAUGGCUGUCGUCAGCUCGUGUCGUGAGAUGUUGGGUUAAGUCCCGCAACGAGCGCAACCCUCGUCCUUAGUUGCCAGCAUUAAGUUGGGGACUCUAGGGAGACCGCCGGGGAGAACUCGGAGGAAGGUGGGGAUGACGUCAAGUCAGCAUGCCCCUUACGUCUUGGGCUACACACGUACUACAAUGGUUGGGACAAAGGGGAGCGAAACCGCGAGGUGGAGCGAAUCUCAUCAAACCCAGCCACAGUUCAGAUUGCAGGCUGAAACUCGCCUGCAUGAAGGAGGAAUCGCUAGUAAUCGCAGGUCAGCAUACUGCGGUGAAUCCGUUCCC
RNAcentral lists this ribosomal RNA (891 nucleotides) under uncultured cyanobacterium. Its description in RNAcentral is "bacterial SSU rRNA". It matches the Rfam family "Bacterial small subunit ribosomal RNA", at positions 483 to 1375 of the family's 1533-position model. Lineage: Bacteria; Bacillati; Cyanobacteriota. The record is from RNAcentral.